Molecule: long non-coding RNA, 444 nt
Organism: Oncorhynchus tshawytscha (Chinook salmon)
Lineage: Eukaryota; Metazoa; Chordata; Actinopteri; Salmoniformes; Salmonidae
Exons: 2
Source: RefSeq, a predicted model, not a curated record
CACCUGAAACAGAAAAGCUAAAUGAGAUGGAGGGUAAACUCGAACAAAACGUAAAGGUUGCUACACCUGAAACAGAAAAGCUAAAUGAGAUGGAGGGUAAACUCGAACAAAACGUAAAGGUUGCUACACCUGAAACAGAAAAGCUAAAUGAGAUGGAGGGUAAACUCGAACAAAACGUAAAGGUUGCUACACCUGAAACAGAAAAGCUAAAUGAGAUGGAGGGUAAACUCGAACAAAACGUAAAGGUUGCUACACCUGAAACAGAAAAGCUAAAUGAGAUGGAGGGUAAACUCGAACAAAACGUAAAGGUUGCUACACCUGAAACAGAAAAGCUAAAUGAGAUGGAGGGUAAACUCGAACAAAACGUAAAGGUUGCUACACCUGAAACAGAAAAGCUAAAUGAGAUGGAGGGUAAACUCGAACAAAACGUAAAGGUUGCUACAC